GAUUAAAUGACUGAAAAUAGGUAGUAAACUGUAAAUUUAUUUAUAAGAUGAAAAUCUUUUUAAUCA
This 66-nucleotide transfer RNA is filed under the name Paradyschiria parvula. RNAcentral's name for it is "tRNA-Tyr". Lineage: Eukaryota; Metazoa; Arthropoda; Insecta; Diptera; Streblidae. The record is from RNAcentral.